RNAcentral lists this ribosomal RNA (450 nucleotides) under uncultured bacterium. RNAcentral's name for it is "partial 16S ribosomal RNA". It matches the Rfam family "Bacterial small subunit ribosomal RNA", at positions 354 to 796 of the family's 1533-position model. The record is from RNAcentral.
GUGGGGAAUAUUGGACAAUGGGCGCAAGCCUGAUCCAGCCAUACCGCGUGGGUGAAGAAGGCCUUCGGGUUGUAAAGCCCUUUUGUUGGGAAAGAAAUCCUGUCGGUUAAUACCUGGCGGGGAUGACGGUACCCAAAGAAUAAGCACCGGCUAACUUCGUGCCAGCAGCCGCGGUAAUACGAAGGGUGCAAGCGUUACUCGGAAUUACUGGGCGUAAAGCGUGCGUAGGUGGUGGUUUAAGUCCGUUGUGAAAGCCCUGGGCUCAACCUGGGAAUUGCAGUGGAUACUGGAUCACUAGAGUGUGGUAGAGGGAUGCGGAAUUUCUGGUGUAGCAGUGAAAUGCGUAGAGAUCAGAAGGAACAUCCGUGGCGAAGGCGGCAUCCUGGGCCAACACUGACACUGAGGCACGAAAGCGUGGGGAACAAACAGGAUUAGAAACCCCAGUAGUCC